This 448-nucleotide small RNA is filed under the name Vigna angularis var. angularis. RNAcentral describes it as "Non-protein coding transcript". The record is from RNAcentral. Lineage: Eukaryota; Viridiplantae; Streptophyta; Magnoliopsida; Fabales; Fabaceae.
AUCUAAUGUAAUUCUCUAAAAAUAUCUAAACCCUAACCUUCCUCCCCGCCUUCAUCAAAUUUUUCCCCAUACCCUUCCCCGCACCACAAUCUUCUCUGCUUGGCUUCGUGUUCGUCUUCUCCUGCUUGGCUUCGUGUUCUCCUUCUCCUGCUUGGUUGAGCGUCGAGGUGGAGGCGUCGAGGCAUUUGUGGGUUGAGCGAGAUCGAGGUGCUCUAGCGCACUCCCGUACUGACCGAUCUUAGGUCGAGGUCGAGGUACCAGGAAUCUGUUGGGGUGAUUUCUAUCACUACAGUACAACACAUUUUGUCUCCAACCCCUCAAACUCAAAUCCUCCUUGGUAUGUUCAUCUUAUCUCUUCAAUCUUCAUGGUUUAGUAGUGAAAAACGAAGAUAUUCAUUAAGUAGAAGAAUUAUUAUGAAACACAAUAUGGGUAUGUUACAAUAUGGUU